CCUACGGGGGGCAGCAGUGGGGAAUAUUGGACAAUGGGCGAAAGCCUGAUCCAGCCAUGCCGCGUGUGUGAAGAAGGCCUUCGGGUUGUAAAGCACUUUCAGUGGGGAAGAAAGCCUUGGGGCUAAUACCCUCGAGGAAGGACAUCACCCACAGAAGAAGCACCGGCUAACUCCGUGCCAGCAGCCGCGGUAAUACGGAGGGUGCGAGCGUUAAUCGGAAUUACUGGGCGUAAAGCGCGCGUAGGCGGUCUGAUAAGCCGGUUGUGAAAGCCCCGGGCUCAACCUGGGAACGGCAUCCGGAACUGUCAGGCUAGAGUACAGGAGAGGAAGGUAGAAUUCCCGGUGUAGCGGUGAAAUGCGUAGAGAUCGGGAGGAAUACCAGUGGCGAAGGCGGCCUUCUGGACUGACACUGACGCUGAGGUGCGAAAGCGUGGGUAGCAAACAGGAUUAGAUACCCCUGUAGUC
Molecule: ribosomal RNA, 465 nt
Filed under: Vreelandella stevensii
Lineage: Bacteria; Pseudomonadati; Pseudomonadota; Gammaproteobacteria; Oceanospirillales; Halomonadaceae
Description: partial 16S ribosomal RNA
Rfam family: Bacterial small subunit ribosomal RNA
Source: RNAcentral